Molecule: long non-coding RNA, 458 nt
Organism: Pieris rapae (cabbage white)
Lineage: Eukaryota; Metazoa; Arthropoda; Insecta; Lepidoptera; Pieridae
Exons: 2
Source: RefSeq, a predicted model, not a curated record
AAAACGAAAAAAGAACGUGUUAUUCCUUAGCACGUUACAUAACAAUGUUGAAAUAGACUCCAAUCACCCUAAGAAAAAGCCAAAAACUAUGGCAUAAAAUCAUAGUGUCAAAGCGGCAUCUCGAAGGUGGCCGUACAUUUUUUCAAUUCUUCUCGAUCUUCUACUUAAAAUCCGGAAACUCGGAAAAUGUUAUGUACAAAAGUACAAAAAUAAAACUAAUAAAGACACUUGUAAAAAGCCACUUUGCGGCUCUUGUAAUGUAAAGAAAAUGUUAAAAUGUAAAAUAUGUGUAUAAAUAUUAUAAUUAAUCAUACAUCAAACCCUGUUUUAUUACUAUAGUUACCAUUUUUAACAGCUAAAAUAAUAAAAAAAGGUGUAAUAUAUUGGAGGAGUCAUUUGACCGGUCGCCGUCUUUGUAGGUAGAUAGAUUUUCCCGUCUUUCUAGUGUUAAAAGUUCU